RNAcentral lists this ribosomal RNA (207 nucleotides) under uncultured bacterium. RNAcentral describes it as "partial 16S ribosomal RNA". It matches the Rfam family "Bacterial small subunit ribosomal RNA", at positions 568 to 774 of the family's 1533-position model. The record is from RNAcentral.
CGCGUAGGCGGUUACGUGUGUCAAGUGUGAAAUCUCCGGGCUCAACCCGGAAAGUGCGCUUGAAACUGCGUGACUAGAGUCUGGGAGAGGGAAUCGGAAUGCAGGGUGUAGCGGUGAAAUGCGUUGAUAUCCUGCAGAACACCGGAGGCGAAGGCGGAUUCCUUGAACGGUACUGACGCUGAGGCGCGAAAGUCGGGGGAGCAAACA